RNAcentral lists this ribosomal RNA (478 nucleotides) under uncultured bacterium. RNAcentral's name for it is "partial 16S ribosomal RNA". It matches the Rfam family "Bacterial small subunit ribosomal RNA", at positions 28 to 523 of the family's 1533-position model. The record is from RNAcentral.
GACGAACGCUGGCGGCGUGCUUAACACAUGCAAGUCGAACGGUAAGGCCCUUCGGGGUACACGAGUGGCGAACGGGUGAGUAACACGUGGGUGAUCUGCCCUGCACUUCGGGAUAGGCCUGGGAAACUGGGUCUAAUACCGGAUAGGACCACUGCCUGCAUGGGCGGUGGUGGAACGCCUUUGUGGGGUGGGAUGGGCCCGCGGCCUAUCAGCUUGUUGGUGGGGUGAUGGGCUACCAAGGCGACGACGGGUAGCCGGCCUGAGAGGGUGACCGGCCACACUGGGACUGAGAUACAGCCCAGACUCCUACGGGAGGCAGCAGUGGGGAAUAUUGCACAAUGGGCGCAAGCCUGAUGCAGCGACGCCGCGUGAGGGAUGACGGCCUUCGGGUUGUAAACCUCUUUCAGCACCGACGAAGCGCAAGUGACGGUAGGUGCAGAAGAAGGACCGGCCAACUACGUGCCAGCCGCCGCCGUAA